GUCCAGCUAACGAGUUAUAAAUAGGAGGAAACGCGCGUCCUGGAU
RNAcentral lists this non-coding RNA (45 nucleotides) under Schistosoma haematobium. The record is from RNAcentral. Lineage: Eukaryota; Metazoa; Platyhelminthes; Trematoda; Strigeidida; Schistosomatidae.